This is a small nuclear RNA of Suncus etruscus (white-toothed pygmy shrew), 106 nucleotides long. NCBI's taxonomy places the organism in Eukaryota, Metazoa, Chordata, Mammalia, Eulipotyphla, Soricidae. The record is from RefSeq and is a predicted model, not a curated record.
GUACUUGCUUCAGCAGCACAUAUACAAAAUUGCAACGACAUAGAGAAAAUUAGCAUGGCCUCUGCACAAGGAAGACAAACAAAUCUGUAAAGCAUUCCAUAUAAAA